This is a long non-coding RNA of Etheostoma cragini (Arkansas darter), 957 nucleotides long. RefSeq lists it as uncharacterized. The transcript has 2 exons. NCBI's taxonomy places the organism in Eukaryota, Metazoa, Chordata, Actinopteri, Perciformes, Percidae. The record is from RefSeq and is a predicted model, not a curated record.
GUUGUUGGACCCAGUGACGGUAAAGGCGUGACUCACAGGUCCUCUGUUUAACUGCCUGAGGAGAGGGUGUGAUUAGGAGCACUCAGAGGCCAGACGAGGAUCCUGAGCCUGGAGCCAGGGAGUUACAAAACCACGAGCAGUAAACGUGAUCACGUGCGUUUAGGAGACACCCACACACAAAAAUCACAACCAGCCUCCUCUCAUCGUUGCCCUCAUUUGACAACGGGGACAAGCAGAAUUUAAACAACACGUUGUGAGGUGUUUAGAGAGCGGGUUUAACAAAUUGGUGCAAAAGCUGUCAGAUAUAAAAUGGAAAAGGACGUCCUGGACUAUCUUCUGUGCUUUCUAUAAUGUGCCUGCACCAUGGGAGGAGCAGGAAGGUGCCAAGGGCACCAGCAGCCCAAUGUCCUAACAGUGGGUUUACUCGUUGCUGCUGUGCCUUAAAUCACAUCCUGCUGCGAAGAAUGCACCACCACAGACAUCAGAGCACCCAUAAAGCCGAUUGAUGCGACAUGCCUGCUGGCACAGUGAGCCACUCAUGUUGAAUUUUAAUUGUCGUGUAAGCUGCUGCAAUCUAUUAAACAUCCAAUAAACAGCAUCCUGUCGUUCUGCUCCCCGGGCCCAGAUCCUCCGGCGACCCCAGACUUUGUGACGACCGAGAGCUUCCUGAAGAUUCCCAACAAAUUUCCCUUUUUUGUCUUCAAGGUUCCCAUGUCACGGUCGAGUACGCUGCAUCCACUUCAAAGCCCAAGAAAACAGACAUCUCCAGUAUAUUAUUUUGGGAUCAAAGAGAUAUUUAAUGCAUUUUAAACUGCACAGAUUGUACAAUGUAGAUAAAACAGUGUCUUUAUUUAAGUUAACAGAUUAGCACAGUUUCUCAGUUGUCUUUUGUUAAAAGUGGUUUUCAGUGUUUAAACCGCCGAUUGUUCUAAAUGUUUUAUUAAAUCUUCUGUGUGA